GCUUCUUGAAAUUAGCAGCCUAUAUGAGAACACUUGGAAUAGGUGAACAGACACUUACUGCAAUAAAUAGGAGAGAGGGAGCUCCUCCUGGCAUAGUUAUCUUUUAUGCAAACCACUUGAACUACAAUUCACAAUACAUAUUUGGUUUAUGUGAAAAAUAGAAAAAGAGAAAAGUGAGAAACGUCCUAAUUAGAAUUAUGGUUUUUUUUCCCUUUCAUUUAAU
This 223-nucleotide unclassified non-coding RNA is filed under the name Hevea brasiliensis (rubber tree). The record is from RNAcentral. Lineage: Eukaryota; Viridiplantae; Streptophyta; Magnoliopsida; Malpighiales; Euphorbiaceae.